UAGGGAAUAUUGCAAAAUGGGCGAAAGCCCGAUGCAGCAACGCCGCGUGGGCGAUGAAGGCCUUCGGGUCGUAAAGCCCUUUUUGAGGGGAUGAGGAAGGACAGUACCCUCAGAAUAAGCCUCGGCUAACUACGUGCCAGCAGCCGCGGUAAAACGUAGGAGGCGAGCGUUAUCCGGAUUUACUGGGCGUAAAGCGCGUGCAGGCGGAUUGGAGAGUUGGAUGUGAAAGCUCCCGGCUUAACUGGGAGAGGCCGUUCAAUACUUCCAGUCUUGAGUGCAGUAGAGGGAAGUGGAAUUCCGGGUGUAGUGGUGAAAUGCGUAGAUAUCCGGAGGAACACCAGUGGCGAAAGCGGCUUCCUGGACUGUAACUGACGCUCAGACGCGAAAGCUAGGGUAGCAAACG
Molecule: ribosomal RNA, 403 nt
Filed under: uncultured bacterium
Lineage: Bacteria
Description: bacterial SSU rRNA
Rfam family: Bacterial small subunit ribosomal RNA
Source: RNAcentral